CCUACGGGAGGCAGCAGUGGGGAAUUUUGGACAAUGGGGGCAACCCUGAUCCAGCCAUUCCGCGUGAGUGAAGAAGGCCUUCGGGUUGUAAAGCUCUUUCGCAAGGGAAGAAAACUUAUGAUCGAAUAAAUCAUGAGGUUGACGGUACCUUGAUAAGAAGCACCGGCUAACUACGUGCCAGCAGCCGCGGUAAUACGUAGGGUGCGAGCGUUAAUCGGAAUUACCGGGCGUAAAGCGUGCGCAGGCGGUUUUGUAAGUCGGAUGUGAAAUCCCCGGGCUCAACCUGGGAACUGCGUUCGAAACUGCAAGGCUAGAGUGUGUCAGAGGGGGGUAGAAUUCCACGUGUAGCAGUGAAAUGCGUAGAGAUGUGGAGGAAUACCAAUGGCGAAGGCAGCCCCCUGGGAUAACACUGACGCUCAUGCACGAAAGCGUGGGGAGCAAACAGGAUUAGAUACCCUGGUAGUCCACGCCCUAAACGAUGUCAACUAGUUGUUGGUAGAGUAAAAUCUAUGAGUAACGUAGCUAACGCGUGAAGUUGACCGCCUGGGGAGUACGGUCGCAAGAUUAAAACUUAAAUGAAUUGACCGG
This 588-nucleotide ribosomal RNA is filed under the name uncultured bacterium. RNAcentral describes it as "bacterial SSU rRNA". It matches the Rfam family "Bacterial small subunit ribosomal RNA", at positions 338 to 917 of the family's 1533-position model. The record is from RNAcentral.